AGAGUUUGAUCCUGGCUCAGGACGAACGCUGGCGGCGUGCUUAACACAUGCAAGUCGAACGGAGAUAGUAGUAAUAUUAUCUUAGUGGCGGACGGGUGAGUAACGCGUGGGCAACUUACCUCGGACUGGGGGAUAACACAGGGAAACUUGUGCUAAUACCGCAUAACAUCGCGAGAGGACAUCCUCUUGCGAUCAAAGGA
This 200-nucleotide ribosomal RNA is filed under the name uncultured bacterium. Its description in RNAcentral is "partial 16S ribosomal RNA". It matches the Rfam family "Bacterial small subunit ribosomal RNA", at positions 8 to 208 of the family's 1533-position model. The record is from RNAcentral.